RNAcentral lists this ribosomal RNA (620 nucleotides) under uncultured bacterium. Its description in RNAcentral is "bacterial SSU rRNA". It matches the Rfam family "Bacterial small subunit ribosomal RNA", at positions 439 to 1055 of the family's 1533-position model. The record is from RNAcentral.
AAUGGGAAGAAUUAGUAGGGGUCAAUACCCCCUAUGAUGACGGUACCAUUUGUAAGCUCCGGCUAACUCCGUGCCAGCAGCCGCGGUAAUACGGGGGGAGCAAGCGUUGUUCGGAUUUAUUGGGCGUAAAGAGCGUGUAGGCGGUUCGGUAAGUCUGCCGUGAAAACCCAGGGCUCAACCCUGGGCGUGCGGUGGAUACUGCCGGGCUAGAGGGUGGUAGAGGCGAGUGGAAUUCCCGGUGUAGCGGUGAAAUGCGCAGAUAUCGGGAGGAACACCAGUAGCGAAGGCGGCUCGCUGGGCCAUACCUGACGCUGAGACGCGAAAGCGUGGGGAGCAAACAGGAUUAGAUACCCUGGUAGUCCACGCCGUAAACGAUGAACACUAGGUGUGGGCGGAGUCGAAUCUGUCCGUGCCGCAGCCAACGCGAUAAGUGUUCCGCCUGGGGAGUACGGCCGCAAGGCUAAAACUCAAAAGAAUUGACGGGGGCCCGCACAAGCAGCGGAGCAUGUUCUUUAAUUCGAUGCAACGCGAAGAACCUUACCUGGACUUGACAUGGUGCUGCAAGCGCACGGAAACGUGUGACCUUCGAGGGUGCACCACAGAUGCUGCAUGGCUGUCGU